This 2397-nucleotide long non-coding RNA is filed under the name Podarcis lilfordi (Lilford's wall lizard). Lineage: Eukaryota; Metazoa; Chordata; Lepidosauria; Squamata; Lacertidae. The record is from RNAcentral.
AGUGAGGUGAGGUGAGGUUCCUGGUUCCACUGUUCCAAGGAAAGACAACAGAGGAACAGCUAUGGAGCCAGUGCUCAGUGGGCAGGAUGGGGCGGAGGGUGAUCCCACUUUUCUUCCAGGUGAACCUUAAUCAUUUCAAGUUUCGAAUAGAUAGAAACUUGUCCCAUUUUGUUACACAGAGCAGGCUCUCAAACCAGCAUUACAAACAUGUCACACCAGGGAAGAGGAGCCUCAGGCCCAGGGACUAAAUGUGGCUCUGAAGACUUUCUAUAUGGCCCUUGGGAUGUAUAUGGAUGUUUUUAGUAGUGAGGUAUAAAGAAAAUGUUAUUUUCCUCAUAUCUCCCUGGGCAAUGCUAGAUGGAAAUUGGCUCUGUUGGGCUUUGAAAUGAAACCAUCCCAUGGACUCCCCCAUGGGAAAGACCACGUUCCAGCUAACUCAGAUAAUGAAGGAAUCCUAUUUGUGUUACAGCAGGGUCUCUCCAGACUGUUGCACAUGAACCUCUGCUCAUCCAAGGGGAAAGCAAGAGCAAUGGGCAUUCUUGGGCAGCCAAUCACUAAUAGUAACCAGCAGGAUCCUGUGCAACACACCUCACAAUUGUCUGAAAUGAAUGCACUAUCCUGGGGUGGGGGACCCCAGCAUUUAGCAAAUUUGCAGAUAUAAGGAAAUUCAAUAUCUCUACAACAGAAGCCCAGUUUUGUGUGUGCGUGUUUGGAGUGGGGAGACUUGGCCUCUUCAGCUGUGUGAAGAAAUUGAGAAAUCCUAAAUCACAAACCCUCUUACCACUUUCUCAGCCGCACAGGGAAACCAAGGUAUGAUUCGUAAACCAGCACUCGUGGACCACCUGAAGUCUCGCCUGUGAUUUAUAUAGGAAAGAGGAGGAAUGGUGAACACUGAAGCUACUUUUUUGAGUUAAGUACCACCAAGAAUGCAACAUCUUAUUGCUGCACAAGGGAUAAUUCUGUUGAUAGAAAAUAAAAAAAUCUGUUUAUUUACUAUGCAAGACAACUCACCAUUAUGAUGGUCCUUUAACAUUGUCAACCUGAUCCCAAAGGUUCCAGAGCAUAGUAACCCACCCAGAGAAUUCCCUUCUGAACCUCGGUUAGCAGGUUUGAAAACAUGCAAAAGGAUUUCUGGCAAAGAAUAAAAACUAUAUUUUUUUGUGGCGCUGUUCACUGACAGAAAGAGCACUCAGAUUGCUUUCUUUUCUUUUUUUGCCAGAAAGAAAAUAUUGCAAUGCUUUCUUUUCUUUUUUUGCCAGAGAGAAAAUAUUGCAAGGCAGAGAACACCCCCAAUGGCUUCUUUGUAGGGAUUUAUUUUAUUUUAUUUUUUUUAAUAAUUUUUGAUUAAGUUUUUAAACAAACAAAAAAGAAAAACAACACACACAAAAAACAAUACAAAACUUAACAAUAUAAACACAAAACAAUUAAUAACGAACUCUCUUUUCCAUUACCAAUUUUAAGUUACUUAUUUUCUGGACUUCCUCAUACCUCCCUCUUUUGUAUUCCAAUCCACAUUUAUUUAUCCAGCAGUUUCUUUUCCACUUUUUAAUCCCAAUCUUUAAUUUAAUAAAAUGUUAAAAUAUAUAACUUCAACUCUUUUAAACCUAAUCCUUGAUCUUAAUAUCCUGUAACUUUAAAGUUUUCCCUUUUAAAAUCAAAUUUCCAUUUCUUUAAACUUCUUUAAUCUUAAUCUUUAAUCUUAAUCUAUCCUUAACUUUAACCUAUGCAGCUGGAAACCACUUAUUUUCAGUCCAACAUCACUCUAACAUUCCUUAAUUUUGCAGUGUUUCUGAAGAUAGUCUUUGAAUUUCUUCCAGUCUUCCUCCAUCGACUCUUCUCCCUGGUCACGGAUUCUGCCAGUCAUUUCCGCCAAUUCCAUAUAGUCCAUAAGUUUCAUCUGCCAUUCCUCCAGCGUGGGAAGUUCUUGUGUCUUCCAAUACUUUGUGAUGAGUAUUCUUGCUGCUGUUGUUGCAUACAUAAAGAAAGUUCUAUCCUUUUUUAACACCAUUUGGCCCACUAUGCCCAGGAGAAAGGCCUCUGGUUUCUUAGGGAAGGUAUACUUAAAUACCUUUUUUAAUUCAUUAUAUAUCAUUUCCCAGAAAGCCUUAAUCUUUGGGCACGUCCACCAAAGGUGAAAAAAUGUACCUUCAAUUUCUUUACAUUUCCAACAUUUGUUAUCGGGCAAGUGAUAGAUUUUCGCAAGCUUGACUGGGGUUAUGUACCACCUGUAUAUCAUUUUCAUAAUAUUCUCUCUUAAGGCAUUACAUGCCGUAAAUUUCAUACCUGUGGUCCAUAACUGUUCCCAGUCAGCAAACAUAAUGUUAUGACCAACGUCCUGUGCCCAUUUAAUCAUAGCCGAUUUUACCGUUUCAUCUUGAGUAUUCCAUUUCAGCAGCA